RNAcentral lists this ribosomal RNA (460 nucleotides) under uncultured bacterium. RNAcentral's name for it is "partial 16S ribosomal RNA". It matches the Rfam family "Bacterial small subunit ribosomal RNA", at positions 338 to 795 of the family's 1533-position model. The record is from RNAcentral.
CCUACGGGGGGCUGCAGUGAGGAAUAUUGGUCAAUGGACGAGAGUCUGAACCAGCCAAGUAGCGUGAAGGACGACUGCCCUAUGGGUUGUAAACUUCUUUUAUAUGGGAAUAAAAUGUUCCACGUGUGGGAUUUUGUAUGUACCAUAUGAAUAAGGAUCGGCUAACUCCGUGCCAGCAGCCGCGGUAAUACGGAGGAUCCGAGUGUUAUCCGGAUUUAUUGGGUUUAAAGGGAGCGUAGGUGGAUUGUUAAGUCAGUUGUGAAAGUUUGCGGCUCAACCGUAAAAUUGCAGUUGAAACUGGCAGUCUUGAGUACAGUAGAGGUGGGCGGAAUUCGUGGUGUAGCGGUGAAAUGCUUAGAUAUCACGAAGAACUCCGAUUGCGAAGGCAGUUCACUGGACUGCAACUGACACUGAGGCUCGAAAGUGUGGGUAUCAAACAGGAUUAGAUACCCGAGUAGUC